AGUGAACGCUGGCGGUAGGCCUAACACAUGCAAGUCGAACGGCAGCACAGUAAGAGCUUGCUCUUACGGGUGGCGAGUGGCGGACGGGUGAGGAAUACAUCGGAAUCUACUUUUUCGUGGGGGAUAACGUAGGGAAACUUACGCUAAUACCGCAUACGACCUACGGGUGAAAGCAGGGGAUCUUCGGACCUUGCGCGAUUGAAUGAGCCGAUGUCGGAUUAGCUAGUUGGCGGGGUAAAGGCCCACCAAGGCGACGAUCCGUAGCUGGUCUGAGAGGAUGAUCAGCCACACUGGAACUGAGACACGGUCCUGACUCCUACGGGAGGCAGCAGUGGGGAAUAUUGGACAAUGGGCGCAAGCCUGAUCCAGCCAUGCCGCGUGGGUGAAGAAGGCCUUCGGGUUGUAAAGCCCUUUUGUUGGGAAAGAAAAGCAGCAGGUUAAUACCCCGCUGUUCUGACGGUACCCAAAGAAUAAGCACCGGCUAACUUCGUG
This 492-nucleotide ribosomal RNA is filed under the name uncultured bacterium. Its description in RNAcentral is "partial 16S ribosomal RNA". It matches the Rfam family "Bacterial small subunit ribosomal RNA", at positions 29 to 507 of the family's 1533-position model. The record is from RNAcentral.